RNAcentral lists this long non-coding RNA (1134 nucleotides) under Carica papaya (papaya). RNAcentral's name for it is "long non-coding RNA (CPAP_LNC005097)". The record is from RNAcentral. Lineage: Eukaryota; Viridiplantae; Streptophyta; Magnoliopsida; Brassicales; Caricaceae.
UUCAGCCGUCCUUUCCUCUUGUUACAAAAUUGUGUUCAUUCUUUAGAACCAUCAAGGAGGGGUAGUGCAGUUUCAUUUAGACGUAAGAUCCUGCCAUUCCCGAUGGAAAUUGCCUACGCGGAGAGCAGUUAACAAGUGGGAAUCAGUAGCAUUAUAUUUGAUUUUAAGGUAGGGUUGGUGUUCUCUAUUUGGAAAAUUUAUGGUGGCUCACAUCUCAGUGGCUCUUAUUAAAAUAGAGUAUUUUCGGUAUCUGCUAUUAGAUAUAGCAACAUAUGUAGUUUAAGAAAUUGAUUGAUUCAAUGAACUAGUUAAAGGUUCUGCUGCUCUUUUAAUGAUUCUCUACAGAUCUGGUUCUUUUAGGGAUGAUUUCGCUAUUUUUUUUUUUUGGUUUUCUUAGAUAAAUUUUGCACUCGUAGUUCUUGAAAGGUGAUGAGAAUUACAGAGAUUAUUAGGUACAAUUACAUCUCUUACUAAGAUUAGUUAGGCAGAUUAGUCUAGAACGAAAGAAAUAAAAACUGAAGAGGAAAAAGUUUUGUGGUAAUUAGUUGAAAUUGAGGUGCUUGACUGUUCAUAGUGAGAGAUUGCAUGUACCCAAGAUUGGAUUUCUUUUCCUUUUACUUUUAGACCCUUUUUUUAUUUUUUUAAAAUAUUUGUACAUGUGUGUGUGUGUGUGUAUAUAUUUUAGUUUAUUAUUAUAUAUAUUAAAUUUAUUUAACUGAAAUAGACUAGACUCUUGAUACUUAAAUCUCAUAGAUGGAGGACCAAUUCGGACGUACCGAACUUGUUCGGUUUUUAAGAUUUAGACAGCCAAAAUGAGUAUGAUUUGAACGGCUAGGAUUUGUUAAAAUAGAUCUCUAAGGGUUGAGAUGUAAGCGUAUCUAGGAAUGGUAUUAUAUAGGAGGAAGUAGGUGUGGCAGUUAGACUGAAUUUUACUGUUUUCUGGAAACAAUAACUAACCCCAAAUUCCAACAUCCAUGCACCUUUUCUCACACCCUCUCCUGCUCCUUUUUCCUUUCCAACUAUAUAUAUAUAUAUAUAUAUAUAUAUAUAUACAUACAUAUAUAUGUAUACGCACUUAUAUACACAACCGUCAUGCUGGCCCCACUACAAUAAUGGAAAGGGUGAAAAAUGAGU